This 209-nucleotide ribosomal RNA is filed under the name uncultured bacterium. RNAcentral's name for it is "partial 16S ribosomal RNA". It matches the Rfam family "Bacterial small subunit ribosomal RNA", at positions 29 to 233 of the family's 1533-position model. The record is from RNAcentral.
AGCGAACGCUGGCGGAAUGCUUUACACAUGCAAGUCGAGCGGCAGCGCGGGGGCGAACCCUGGCGGCGAGCGGCGAACGGGUGAGUAAUACAUCGGAACGUGUCCUUAAGUGGGGGAGUAGCUCGGCGAAAGCCGGAUUAAUACCGCAUAAGCUCUGAGGAGGAAAGACGGGGGCGUCCGUAAGGACCUCGCACUGUUGGAGCGGCCGA